AACACAGCAACACCUGCGUCUCACAUAAGGUUGUGGUGGCGGUGGUGUUGAUGAUUCAG
RNAcentral lists this microRNA precursor (59 nucleotides) under Echinococcus granulosus. RNAcentral describes it as "microRNA egr-mir-10249 precursor". The record is from miRBase by way of RNAcentral. Lineage: Eukaryota; Metazoa; Platyhelminthes; Cestoda; Cyclophyllidea; Taeniidae.